Pimephales promelas (fathead minnow) is the source of this 839-nucleotide non-coding RNA. The record is from RefSeq and is a predicted model, not a curated record. Lineage: Eukaryota; Metazoa; Chordata; Actinopteri; Cypriniformes; Leuciscidae.
GAAGAGCAGAUCUCCACCAUGGAUGAAAUGCUCCCUCCGUCAGUGCGUCCAGUGACUGGAAUCAGCAGUACACACCAAGUUCUGUCUUUUUCUCCAGGAAAGAUAUUUUACAGAGAUCUUAGUUGUUUCUGCCAGUAUCCAGUUAUGUGCACCUGUCACAAGCUGCACCAACUUGAGUUUGACCAUGUUUUCCCUGAUGAGGUGCCAGGUGACAAGACAAGUGAUGAUGGUGGCCCAUCUGCUUAAGUGCCCUCUGUCCAACCUAGCAGGCCCACUACAGAUUCCCGAGCCUAUGAUGGUGGCUCUGCUACGGAGGUGCCUUCUUCUCCAUCCAGCUUGCCCACUAGAGAGCCCCAAGCCCACUCUUCUACUCAGGUGCUGUUUGCAUAUGUGCCCAAUCAAGUGCAUCAAUUGGAGACGUGCAAGAUGAGGAUUUAGACACCAUUUCCAAUGAAGGAUACAUGGAAGGACAGUUUGUCUUAAUUUAGUAUGAGGGAAAACCAUAUGUGGGACAAAUUGUUGCAAUAAGUAUGGAGGGGCUGCAGGUGAACUGCAUGAAACAACGUGGAGACAAAAAUGAUUUUGUCUGGCCAAAUAGGCGAGACUGCAUUUAUUAUCAAGAUCAGGAAGUUGUUUGUGGCUUAUCACAACCUCAGCAAGGUAGACGGUUUGCUACUCUCUCCACAUUUGACUGGCUUAUGUACAAUGGAGUCUAGAUUAACUGAUUUAUUUGUGGAUCCACUCAGCUACGCUGUAUGUUCACGGUUCAUAUGAUAUAAAAAAAUUGUUUGUUUUACUUAUAUUAAUACAUAUUGCAGACCAGUUUUGAAUUUAAAUGA